RNAcentral lists this long non-coding RNA (1863 nucleotides) under Cricetulus griseus (Chinese hamster). RNAcentral's name for it is "lncRNA (ENSCGRG00015040383.1)". The record is from RNAcentral. Lineage: Eukaryota; Metazoa; Chordata; Mammalia; Rodentia; Cricetidae.
UAGAGAUAUUGAGCAGCUUGCUCAAGGGGCCAGAGUGGGCUUGAGUCAAUGGGUGACUACUGAUACUGAGGCUGGUUUUGGCCUUGUUCACUUUAAUGAAACCAGAGCCUGAGAAAAGAAAAAGAGGGUUGCUAUUGCCCCACAGGGAUCUUGCCAGAUGGCCUAGAGCUUCAGCAUAUGAUGGUAGUCUCUGAGAGAGGGCUGGUCUCUGGUAUGUGUAGAGAUGCUUUCCAUGAGGCCUGAGUAGCUUUGCUGUACCACAGUCACUUCCAAGACUGGGUUGGUGACUUUGAACUCAGGCAGGCCCACAAACCCAGCUCAUUCUCCCAUGGCUACCUGCACAUCCUUACCCUGACAGUGGAGUAGAGACUGUCACUAGAGCUCCUCUAUCAGGCUUUUUACAUAUAUGAUCCUCAUGUAGCCCACAAAUGUCUACCUCUCACAGGAAAACACUCUGGACCAACUAAGGGGUGGUGAGUAGUUUGCCCUUGGGGAAAGGACAGGCUUUCCAUUGUGGCAUCACAGAACUUAUGAGCCAGUCCUUUUGGCCCUGGCCAUAAUUCUGUGUGGCCUCUUACUGGGUUCUGGAGUUCAGAUGUCAACUCCAGAGCUCCGGACAGGCCAUUCUUUCUGUCAUCAAUUCUAUUGGCUCAGUUGGACCACAUGUUGUAUGGAAGAGCUCAUUUUCUCAGUGUCUUUCCCCUGUGCCAAAUGGACAAGUUGCAAUGAGUUGAGGUGUGAUGGGUAGAAGGCUCAGGUCCAGGCAUGCUGGUGGGAGCUGGUUCUGACUCUGAACUCCCAGAGCCUGAUGCCUAGGACAGCAGCAGAGCUACCGAAGCAAAGUUCAUCACUGCAAAUAGUGGCCCCUGAGAAGCCCCCUACUGAUUCUGCUCAGGGUAUCAAAAAGGAAGGGGACAUGUUUUAUACCUGCCUCUCUUUAGUCCCUGGAAACAAGCCAAAAUGCACUUGCCGUCCUCUGACCAGGAAACAGACCUUGAUCUUGGAUAAUACUAAACAUUGUGUUCAUUUGUCCACUUGCUAGAAUGUUUCUCUUUCCUUGUCCAUGUGGAUUGUCUUCCUCAUGUCCUGAAGGAUCCAUGGCCACAUUAGCCCCCACAUCAAAUGUGCAGCACAGAAUUGCUGACACCUGCUGUGUCUGGCUACUCUGACAGUUUAGAAGACACUGUAGUUGAACACCAAGCAGUCUCAUGUGGGUGUUGCAGGGAUAUGGGUGUGGCCCCAGAAACCAUGCAAGAAGAAGCACUGACUAACGUCAAGGAGUGAUACCUUGCCUAAGGCCAUAGGUUCCUGGUGGAGCCCUUGUCCUCAGUGAUGGGCCAGCUGCACUUCUGAAAAAUGGUGGUGUGUGCUUAUUCCUGUUGCUUUCCCUGCAGAGAUGACCAGGUGGCACCAACUCUCCUUGUUUUCUCCAGUGUCUUACUGUUGCAGGGCCACAUUCUUGUUCAUGGUGUGGCGGGCUUCAAGCUUUUGUGGCCCCUGGAUGUUUGUGAGCUAAAGGAAAAAGCACGUCAAUAGAAAUGCUGUGCGCUGACUCUGGGUUCCUUGCAAAUGAGGCUUGCAGUGCAUUUGCCUAUAUAAAUAAACCUUUCACACCAGGUGAAAAUGCCAUUUACCUUAGUGCAAAUGUGGAGUAUUCAGGUCUUCUUCGGGUCUUCUCCAGUCAUUCUGUGAGGCAUGGUGUCCCCUCACUCUACUACAGUAGGUUGUAGGGAGAGAUCCCAACAUCUAUACCAAAGACCAUGUCCCUUUGGGCGUCGUCACAGGUAUGUAGGAGGGGUAGAAAAGGAUGAGAGAGAGCGCCCCCCCCCUCGGGAUUGGGCCAGCAUUGGGAAGCAUUCUGGG